GGAUCGAUGGGAGCUUGCUCCCUGCAGAUCAGCGGUAGACGGCCUGAGUAACACGUGGGUAACCUGCCUGUAAGACUGGGAUAACUCCGGGAAACCGGGGCUAAUACCGGAUAACACCUACCCCCGCAUGGGGGAAGGUUGAAAGGUGGCUUCGGCUAUCACUUACAGAUGGACCCGCGGCGCAUUAGCUAGUUGGUGAGGUAACGGCUCACCAAGGCGACGAUGCGUAGCCGACCUGAGAGGGUGAUCGGCCACACUGGGACUGAGACACGGCCCAGACUCCUACGGGAGGCAGCAGUAGGGAAUCUUCCGCAAUGGACGAAAGUCUGACGGAGCAACGCCGCGUGAGUGAAGAAGGUUUUCGGAUCGUAAAACUCUGUUGUUAGGGAAGAACAAGUGCCGUUCGAAUAGGGCGGCACCUUGACGGUACCUAACCAGAAAGCCACGGCUAACUACGUGCCAGCAGCCGCGGUAAUACGUAGGUGGCAAGCGUUGUCCGGAAUUAUUGGGCGUAAAGCGCGCGCAGGUGGUUUCUUAAGUCUGAUGUGAAAGCCCACGGCUCAACCGUGGAGGGUCAUUGGAAACUGGGGAACUUGAGUGCAGAAGAGGAAAGUGGAAUUCCAAGUGUAGCGGUGAAAUGCGUAGAUAUUUGGAGGAACACCAGUGGCGAAGGCGACUUUCUGGUCUGUAACUGACACUGAGGCGCGUAAUGCCCACCC
This 719-nucleotide ribosomal RNA is filed under the name Rossellomorea marisflavi. RNAcentral's name for it is "bacterial SSU rRNA". It matches the Rfam family "Bacterial small subunit ribosomal RNA", at positions 68 to 770 of the family's 1533-position model. Lineage: Bacteria; Bacillati; Bacillota; Bacilli; Caryophanales; Bacillaceae. The record is from RNAcentral.